RNAcentral lists this ribosomal RNA (775 nucleotides) under Bacillus thuringiensis. RNAcentral describes it as "bacterial SSU rRNA". It matches the Rfam family "Bacterial small subunit ribosomal RNA", at positions 66 to 819 of the family's 1533-position model. The record is from RNAcentral. Lineage: Bacteria; Bacillati; Bacillota; Bacilli; Caryophanales; Bacillaceae.
GCGAAUGGAUUGAGAGCUUGCUCUCAAGAAGUUAGCGGCGGACGGGUGAGUAACACGUGGGUAACCUGCCCAUAAGACUGGGAUAACUCCGGGAAACCGGGGCUAAUACCGGAUAASAUUUUGAACUGCAUGGUUCGAAAUUGAAAGGCGGCUUCGGCUGUCACUUAUGGAUGGACCCGCGUCGCAUUAGCUAGUUGGUGAGGUAACGGCUCACCAAGGCAACGAUGCGUAGCCGACCUGAGAGGGUGAUCGGCCACACUGGGACUGAGACACGGCCCAGACUCCUACGGGAGGCAGCAGUAGGGAAUCUUCCGCAAUGGACGAAAGUCUGACGGAGCAACGCCGCGUGAGUGAUGAAGGCUUUCGGGUCGUAAAACUCUGUUGUUAGGGAAGAACAAGUGCUAGUUGAAUAAGCUGGCACCUUGACGGUACCUAACCAGAAAGCCACGGCUAACUACGUGCCAGCAGCCGCGGUAAUACGUAGGUGGCAAGCGUUAUCCGGAAUUAUUGGGCGUAAAGCGCGCGCAGGUGGUUUCUUAAGUCUGAUGUGAAAGCCCACGGCUCANCCGUGGAGGGUCAUUGGAAACUGGGAGACUUGAGUGCAGAAGAGGAAAGUGGAAUUCCAUGUGUAGCGGUGAAAUGCGUAGAGAUAUGGAGGAACACCAGUGGCGAAGGCGACUUUUCUGGUCUGUAACUGACACUGAGGCGCGAAAGCGUGGGGGAGCAAACAGGAUUAGAUACCCUGGUAGUCCACGCCGUAAACGAUGAGUGCUAA